Molecule: ribosomal RNA, 482 nt
Filed under: Ischnocnema aff. holti CC-2012
Lineage: Eukaryota; Metazoa; Chordata; Amphibia; Anura; Brachycephalidae
Description: partial 12S ribosomal RNA
Rfam family: Bacterial small subunit ribosomal RNA
Source: RNAcentral
GCCUGGCCAUAAACCUUAAAUUACACCCCAUCGCCAAGGAACUACGAGCAAUGCUUAAAACCUAAAGGACUUGACGGUACCCCACAUCCACCUAGAGGAGCCUGUCCUACAAUUGAUUCUCCCCGCUUAACCUCACCACUUCUAGCUUAUCAGCUUGUAUACUUCCGUCCUAGCUUACCGUGUGAACGACCAGUCAGCCCAAACGUCCUCAAACCAAUACAUCAGGUCAAGGUGCAGCAAAUGAAGUGGGAAGAGAUGGGCUACACUCUCUAACCUAGAAAACACGAAAAGUCACAUGCAAUCUGACUAGAAGGCGGAUUUAGCAGUAAAAAGAAAAUAGAGCGUUCUUUUAAACACGGCACUGGGGUGCGUACACACCGCCCGUCACCCUCCUCAAACACAACAGCAGUAAUUCACAAGCAAAAUAAUAAAGAGGAGGCAAGUCGUAACAUGGUAAGCGUACCGGAAGGUGUGCUUGGAAA